UCUUCCCUUUUUUUUUUUUUAAUUUUAAAGAAACGCGUUUCCAACAUCCGAAACACAUUAAAUCUCCAAAUUUCAUGAAACGGGCUCGAAACGCCUCCACUCCGUGUCUCGCCGUUUUCAAGUCGAAAAUCUUUCCAAAACAUGGAAACGUCGAGCAUUGUCGUUUCCGUGCAUCAUUAUAUAUAUAUAUAGGUAAAUAUUAUACAAUUAAAAAAAUAGUUAAAAGGUAUAUUAUAUAAUAUAUUGUGCAUUAAUAAUCAACUUUAAAGUUAAAAUGCUAAUUCAUAUGUAUAACUUUUCAUAUAAAAAGUUGCAUAAAAUUAUUUUUAAAAAUCAAGGAUUAAACUGGAACCAUACUUAACCAAAUCAAAACUGAAAACUAAAAUAUCCAAGAACCAAAGCAGAAUUGUACCGAAAUUUUGAUUCAAUUUCAAUUUCUAGACAGAUUCUGAACUAGA
RNAcentral lists this unclassified non-coding RNA (458 nucleotides) under Hevea brasiliensis (rubber tree). Lineage: Eukaryota; Viridiplantae; Streptophyta; Magnoliopsida; Malpighiales; Euphorbiaceae. The record is from RNAcentral.